RNAcentral lists this ribosomal RNA (740 nucleotides) under uncultured bacterium. Its description in RNAcentral is "bacterial SSU rRNA". It matches the Rfam family "Bacterial small subunit ribosomal RNA", at positions 8 to 796 of the family's 1533-position model. The record is from RNAcentral.
AGAGUUUGAUCCUGGCUCAGAGCGAACGCUGGCGGCAGGCCUAAUACAUGCAAGUCGAACGCACCUUCGGGUGAGUGGCGGACGGGUGAGUAACACGUGGGAACGUGCCCUUUGGUUCGGAAUAAUCCGGGGAAACCUGGCCUAAUACCGGAUGUGCCCUUCGGGGGAAAGAUUUAUCGCCAUUGGAGCGGCCCGCGUCUGAUUAGCUUGUUGGUGGGGUAAUGGCCCACCAAGGCUACGAUCAGUAGCUGGUCUGAGAGGAUGAUCAGCCACACUGGGACUGAGACACGGCCCAGACUCCUACGGGAGGCAGCAGUAGGGAAUCUUGCGCAAUGGGCGAAAGCCUGACGCAGCCAUGCCGCGUGAAUGAUGAAGGUCUUAGGAUUGUAAAAUUCUUUCAGCGGGGAAGAUAAUGACUGUACCCGCAGAAGAAGCUCCGGCUAACUUCGUGCCAGCAGCCGCGGUAAUACGAAGGGGGCUAGCGUUGCUCGGAAUUACUGGGCGUAAAGGGCGCGUAGGCGGGUGUUUAAGUCAGAGGUUAAAUCCCAGGGCUCAACCCUGGAACUGCCUUUGAUACUGGGCACCUAGAGUUCGGGAGAGGUGUGUGGAACUCCGAGUGUAGAGGUGAAAUUCGUAGAUAUUCGGAAGAACACCAGUGGCGAAGGCGACACACUGGCCCGAUACUGACGCUGAGGCGCGAAAGCGUGGGGAGCAAACAGGAUUAGAUACCCCUGUAGUCC